AACGAAGAAUGUGGGUAAUUAGUCGUUAAAACGAGACGAAACGGGAUAUUUAACGACUAACGGGUUAAUAUCUUAAAUAUCUAAGGCUACCCCACCAAAACCACCCCCCAAACCACCCAACACCCCUUUAUCUACCUCACUCACGGCUGAAUUCAGCCAACACACUCCAAUCAUCUUUGCUCUCUCACACACACAACACCCAAAACACCUACUUAUCACGCCAAACACCAUUUUUAGCUUGGACGGAGGUUUCAAGCUCCGAUUUGAGCACCGAGACGAGCACCGAUCAUCUUUUCGAUCACGUAUCUAAGUAGGUCCUUUUGGGAAGUAACGACUUGAGGGAGAGAGUGACGUUACUCAUUGAUACAGAGACACAACGAGGUUGAGCUGAUGUGAUGAUGGUGCUGCAAUGAGCGGAGUCUCCAGGGUUGUUAAUAAAUAGUUAACCUGUCUAGAAUAUGUCUUCAUACAUAUGUCUAGCUACUUUCCGCUGCAAGAUGUUGUUGAUGUUAUAGUAUGUUAUGUCAUACUUUGAGUCUUAAGAGAAUGGUUUCAUAUGAUGUAUAACUUGAUUAAUGAUAUUAAUUAAGUUUUAUGUUGUCUUUCA
Molecule: long non-coding RNA, 607 nt
Organism: Salvia miltiorrhiza (redroot sage)
Lineage: Eukaryota; Viridiplantae; Streptophyta; Magnoliopsida; Lamiales; Lamiaceae
Exons: 3
Source: RefSeq, a predicted model, not a curated record